This 253-nucleotide ribosomal RNA is filed under the name uncultured bacterium. RNAcentral describes it as "partial 16S ribosomal RNA". It matches the Rfam family "Bacterial small subunit ribosomal RNA", at positions 524 to 776 of the family's 1533-position model. The record is from RNAcentral.
UACGGAGGGAGCUAGCGUUAUUCGGAAUUACUGGGCGUAAAGCGUGCGCAGGCGGUGAUGUAAGACAGAUGUGAAAUCCCCGGGCUCAACCUGGGAACUGCAUUUGUGACUGCAUCGCUGGAGUGCGGCAGAGGGGGAUGGAAUUCCGCGUGUAGCAGUGAAAUGCGUAGAUAUGCGGAGGAACACCGAUGGCGAAGGCAAUCCCCUGGGCCUGCACUGACGCUCAUGCACGAAAGCGUGGGGAGCAAACAGG